CCUACGGGAGGCAGCAGUGAGGAAUAUUGGACAAUGGGCGCAAGCCUGAUCCAGCCAUGCCGCGUGCAGGAUGACGGUCCUAUGGAUUGUAAACUGCUUUUGUACAGGAAGAAACACUGGUUCGUGAACCAGCUUGACGGUACUGUAAGAAUAAGGAUCGGCUAACUCCGUGCCAGCAGCCGCGGUAAUACGGANGAUCCAAGCGUUAUCCGGAAUCAUUGGGUUUAAAGGGUCCGUAGGCGGUUUAAUAAGUCAGUGGUGAAAGCCCAUCGCUCAACGGUGGAACGGCCAUUGAUACUGUUAAACUUGAAUUAUUAGGAAGUAACUAGAAUAUGUAGUGUAGCGGUGAAAUGCUUAGAGAUUACAUGGAAUACCAAUUGCGAAGGCAGGUUACUACUAAUUGAUUGACGCNGAUGGACGAAAGCGUGGGUAGCGAACAGGAUUAGAUACCCUGGUAGUCCACGCCGUAAACGAUGGAUACUAGCUGUUGGACGCAAGUUCAGUGGCUAAGCGAAAGUGAUAAGUAUCCCACCUGGGGAGUACGUUCGCAAGAAUGAAACUCAAAGGAAUUGACGGGGGCCCGCACAAGCGGUGGAGCAUGUGGUUUAAUUCGAUGAUACGCGAGGAACCUUACCAAGGC
RNAcentral lists this ribosomal RNA (640 nucleotides) under uncultured bacterium. Its description in RNAcentral is "bacterial SSU rRNA". It matches the Rfam family "Bacterial small subunit ribosomal RNA", at positions 338 to 980 of the family's 1533-position model. The record is from RNAcentral.